AAGUUAGGGUACCGUCACAUUCAACUAGUUGACACUGAUAGUUUUACACUUCUGUGGCAUCUGGCUUCUUUGUUUUUAUUUUUAAUUCUGUCAUGUAUCAAAACAGUAUCAGCCUUUGCUGGUAACAGCUUUGCUUUAGUAUUGAAAGAGUAACACGCGGUGGUGUUUUUUGAUCUGCUUUAGGAUCUGUUGCCUGGUCUGCUUCAUACUCAUGUCGUGUGUUGUGUACAGAGUGUCCUCACAUCAGCAAGUUGUCAAAAUCACAUGAUUUGUUUGAUCAUAGUUUUCGACGAAAUAAAUAUUUAAUUUAAUUGAAAUCGGCUCGUGCGCCACGUGAUCGCAGUAUCUUGGUAGAGUAUUUUGCUGGCAUUACAAUCGUGUAAUUCACUGCCUUCCUCCUUUCAAUUAGACUUCGGGUAUGGAAUAUUCACUUUGCUCGUUGUUGCUUAGGCACUUUUUCAAGGACAACCUUAUUUCGCCAGGUGGUGUGCAGCCAUCCUACUGCCAUAGGGAUUUCGAUGAGAGUUGCUAUUCUUAGACAAGGAUACAUUACUCGUGGGAUUAUGCUUCGCAAGUGUCUUGAGUGUCUUGUUUUUCAUAGUGCAUCCGCUGUCCUUCCGACACGACAUCUCAAUGCUGAAGAAAUAAUGCAUUUGUAGUGUUUUCACGUUUAGAAACAUUUCGAAAAAUACUUGCUCUGCAGACUUUUAUUAAGCUUCAAGCAACCAUUCUCUGGAAUUUGGUUUCUUUUUUGAGAGGUGUGGAUGUACACAUCUGGAGAACAAAGAGAGGUCUGAGGCGUGCUCCUCUGCGGGACAACCCAACCCCCCUGCGGAAUGCGCGAGUUAUGUAACGCAGGAUUUCCCAGUGGUAGUGUGGGCUAGUGUAAACCUGAAAAGGCGAAAAGGUGUGCUGAAGCGCGCUUCAUAAAUCGGAAGUUUAACUGGGAUCGCUCCAAGCCAUGAGGUCGCAGCACCAGGACUGAGUCAGCUCGGUGGACACGCGAUGGACAGGGAAAUGGACAUACAGGAGGAGGAUGUGGAGGCGUCGUGGGGGCUGCUGUCGUGGCUGGCCUCCAGCGUGAUGGUGUUUGGCGGGGCCGUGCCCUACGUGCCCCAGUACCAGGAGAUCCAGCGCAGCGGCAACACGAGGGCUUCUCCACCCGCGUCUGCCUCGUGCUGCUCAUCGCUAACAUCCUGCGCAUCUUCUUCUGGAUAGGGAAGCAAUUUGAGCUGACGCUGCUGCUCCAGAGUCUGGUGAUGAUCCUGACCAUGUUUGCUAUGCUGUAUCUCUGCUGCGCCAUCCAGGGCAGCAACCGGGUUACCACCAAACAGCAUCACAUCGCAGGUAAGACCCACCCACCCAC
Molecule: long non-coding RNA, 1366 nt
Organism: Clupea harengus (Atlantic herring)
Lineage: Eukaryota; Metazoa; Chordata; Actinopteri; Clupeiformes; Clupeidae
Exons: 3
Source: RefSeq, a predicted model, not a curated record